RNA transcript from Felis catus (domestic cat), 5280 nucleotides. It is a transcript of the gene named canopy FGF signaling regulator 1, with no coding region annotated. The record is from RefSeq and is a predicted model, not a curated record. The transcript has 5 exons. Lineage: Eukaryota; Metazoa; Chordata; Mammalia; Carnivora; Felidae.
AUGGACGAGGUGGAGUAUGACGUCACCAAGGCUCGGCAGAAGACGACCAAGGUGGGCUCCUUCCGAAUAAAUCCUGACGGGACGCAGGAGAGGAGAAAGACCCCCCUAGCCCACUCGGAGGUUUUCCUAACAGACCUGUUGGACCAAGUGUGCGAGCGGAUGAACCACUACCAGCUGGAAGAAGAUUCCGUGACUCGGGAGAAGAAGUUUAAGAGAUUUGCUCCAAGGGAAGGAGACAGAAUAUACAAAGAAUUUAAAAAAUUCCAUUUUUAUUCUGAUGCUUACAGACCUUUGAAAUUCGCGUGCGAAGCUAUUAUAGAGGAGCAUGAAGACGAGAUAUUCUCACUUACCGCCCAGGAGGCACACGACCUCGCUGACAAGCUGUGCAGUGAGAAAGCAGUUCAUGGACGCUGGACCCUAACAGGACUGUCCAGUUUACUCCCCGUGCGCAGACCAGUACGUGGGGGACCAUGGAGAAAACGCAUAUUACAUUCGCGAUGACCGUCUGGAUUUAAAAAGGCCCCAUCAGUGAGGUUUUCGUGAACGUAUGCACCCUGCCUUGAACGAAUAAAGAAAACCUCGGUGAAAGACGAGAGCAUCGCAGACGGGUCUGUGGAUACCUCUUCACCGCUCUGCGCUGCAUAAAAGAAAAGGCGUCAAAUACAUCCUGCUCUUGGGGUGUGAGACGGAGCAAUGGGACUACCCGAUAGACAAUCUGUCGCCGUCGUCGUUUGUCCCCAGGCAAAAAAAAGAGAAAUCUCUGUGGAGCCUCUGCUAACCUCGCGGAGCUCCUGGAUGGCACCUCUACCGGUUACUGAGGAGGAAAGUCACAGCCCACAGGUCAACGUCCGUGUUCCUAUCUUCACGUUUCCUCACGAAAACAAAGUUCACGUGUCUCGUUUAUACGGUGUUGUCGCACGUAUGACAUGGUGUUGAAAAUCUGUUGUUUGGUGUCUCGACAGACCCGAUUCUUUGGAUAGGGGAAGUUGAGGACUGCAUAAAACAAAUUACCCUUGUGGAUUCGGAUACAGACAGGGUCAGGAGUGAAGCAUUUAAGUGCCCAGGAAGAAAAAAACGGAAGGCAUUUCAUAAAUGAAAUAAGGAUUUGAUAACAUACACAAUAUCUUAUGCGCGUCUACAAGUAUAAUGUUCUAGUUGAUGAGAAAGAGCAUGAUGUGAGUUCUUAAAUGCUUGAUUGGUCACGAAGGUAAGAAAAUAUAUUGCCACAAAUUCCAGAUUAUGUCUUCUGGGUUCUAUACGGUGAUCGAUUAAAGACACAAACUUUCUUUCCAUCAGGAAGGAGAUACGAAGUUCCAGAAACCUUCAGUUUAAAAACGUAUUAAUCUCUAAAAUGUAACGGAAUGUGUGAAAAAAUAACGCUUUUCUCGCAAGCAAUAUGGUGGCCUUUCUUCCGCAUACCUUGUGAAUCCAGAUGAGUCAGAAAGUCACUGUGCUGUUACCUCGUGUGUUCUUCAAAGAUGGCACCAGUGACCGCGUUUUGUUUUGCCGCAAACUCUGUUGUGCGUGUGCGUCUCUGAAAAGACUUCCAGCUAACGCUUAGUGUGUGUAUUUUACCGCCAACUAAUCUAUUGUCCUCCCAUUUGGGUGUGUUCGUAGGUGUGGAGACAGAGGGGAGGUGGGACCGGAUGAAAAAUUACUUUUGACCCCACUUAAUACCAGAACGUAGUCGUCCUAGUGCUCGGCUUGGAUAUUUCAUUGUCUUCGUUAAACUUACAGUCGGUGACAUCUGACUGUAAUCGUUGCCGAUGCCGGGGCAUAUUCUGUAACUUAUUCUGAAGGAGAGAUGCUCAUUGUUGGUGGUGAGAAUUUACUAGGCAGGGUGAUAUAAAGUCUGCCCCCCGAGAGCAAAAACCGUCCGCCGUGUGUUACGUCAUUGCCUGGAAAUCACGCUGUUUAAACCGCUCAGCUGAUGCUUUGGGAAGAGACAAUUCUGGAACUUAGGAGAAUUUACCAAAAUUCCGGAGAAGCGGUUUCCGCUUUUUUCCUUCUCCCUCCCCACUUCUUGUCGUUAAGUUCACACCAUUUAUUUACUGGGGGGAGCGGAAAGGCACGUGGCUUUUGGACGUGUCGGCAGCUGGCUGCGAGUCGAGACCCUGCCCAGUGUAGCCCAGCGAGCCUGCACCCCAGCUGACACAAACAACACAGAAAGAGGAUUUCAGAAUAAUUAGCACCGUACUGCAGUCAGGUAGCGAAAGUGUUUAAAACGCAGCCCGCACAUCCGUGUGUAAACCUACCUAUUUAAGAUUCGUUCGGCAUCUCACAUAGUGAGUCAUAAACGUUUCCCUAACGUGGGCCUUGUUGGGAAGUGUGCUGCCCGGGGACUCGAUUCCUUGCUGAGCACGUGGCAGAGGCCCUGGCAGGAAGUGCCCAGUGCGACGGGACCUCUGGAAUCGUGUGGCAUUGUCUCCGCCUCCCUGGCGGUCGCUACAAAUUCUCAGAGACAGACGCGGCCAGUGCUGAUGGCGCCGCUCAGGAGAAUUGGGGCUCCCAAUUUCCAACCCGCACGAACACAAGAGGUGUGCCUUCUGUCCCCGAUCGGUGUCCCUUGUGGGUGUGGAUGCUUUUGCUCUGACGGGCGCGAACCACCCGUCUUGCCUCUGAUGGCGCACAUCUAAGGUUCCGCCAAAUACGGCUUUUCAGUUUUGUUCUUAUUUCCCGGUAAAAAAUAGGCUCGUCUCUUACAAGACUUUUGAUGCCCCACGACUUCUAUGUACUUUUUCCUUCCAGAAAGUUUUUUCCGGAUCCAACUUGCUAAACCCGUGUAAAUAUUUUUGGCUUUGCGAAGUUACCGAUUAAACGUCCGCUUGAGGGGUAGACGCGAACCUCUGCAUCUUUGGGCUGAGGAUAUUCUGGGGUUCCCUGUGGGGCACGGUCAAGUUGUGCUGCGUUUGCUAAUGAGCAAUAAUGAGACAGAGCAGUGGGUUGCUUUAGCGACCCUCUGAACCACACUCCUGCCUUUUUAAUGACGUUGAUUGACCAAAACCAAAGACAGCAAAAAGCCUGGGGGGAAAAAAAAGAGUCAGCACCCAGAGCGUGGCACAAAAGUUUCUUAGAGUCCGUGAAAAGCAACCUAAUUCUAGGUCAGGGAAAUUCCUGGAGGGGAAAAAAAGGUGGGGGGUGGGGGUGGGGCGUGUGAUGCUCAUGAAAAGACUGCGGAGGGUAGACGUGUUGGAGGCAGGGGUUUCGAGGUGUGUUUUUGUGAGGCCGGCUCUUUGGGUCUCUGCAGAAGAUCCUGCGCACCUGUUCUCCUGGAGAGAAACCAGGUUGGCCAAGAUGAGCGGUUUAUAUCCUGUUAUGUGGAUUCCCAUUUGCUAAGAAGCAGCCCAGGCCACUGAAUCCAUUUCACUGAGGACUGGAAAGUGGAAUUGAGCCAGAGUCCCAAAUGGGAGGGAUCAAUACUUUAUUUACUAAGACAAGCCCGAAAAAAUAGAGUCGGUUGCUGUUUAUAAUUGUUAUUUGUUCUACCUGUUUCUCUGCUCAGGUUGAUAUCUAUCCACGUAGGUGGUAGCGUUAGCUACAUAAAAAAGUUGAAGCUUUCAACCUUAAAAUUCAGGUUACAAUGGCGUAUGGGAAAAAGCCAUUCUUUGAUGUGAUUUUGUGGCCUGUGUUAAAAUCUGAUACAAAACUAUGAGCUCAUCUCAGAUCUGGAAACCCACUCAAUGGCGUUUUGCGUCGUUCUAUCCCACAAUGCACUGGUAGCAAAUUGUCACGAUACCUGUUACAUACGAGUGUGUGUUUUGUUAGGAUUUUCUGCCCAGGUCUUAAUGCCCCCUGCUACAUUCCUUACAGUCCGCAGAGUCACUGUUCCAGGGCAAGGAACUACACAGACAAAAGAUCGAAUGAGGUGCAUAAAAUUGAAAUAUGGAAUCAUAGACCUCCAUCGCCCAUAAGUCACCUCAGAAGAGGUGCAACGCACAGAUGAUGAUGUCGUCUCCGGACUUGUCCUUCCCGCCCCUCGGCCCCCAAACGUGGGUUUGCUGAGGAGGAGUGACCCACUCUUUCUGACCAUUUUCAGGAUCUGCCCUUCUCCACAGAGAUGGUGCUUACAGUGACCGUAACAGCAACUCAUCUGUCUGUAAGGACGUCACCUGAAAAUCCGGCUUGGCCUCCUGGGGACGGUUUGUAGACGAGUCUGUGGCAUCAGCCACAGGUGCGUGCCCUUCUGGGUUCUCUGAGGGUUCAGAGCGGAAACUUAGGUGCAGGCAUACCGUCCCACGCACAAAGGUGGGCCUGUCGUCUGGGCAGGGGGAAGUCAGCUGACAAAAAUAUCCUGUCUCACGACAGCGAGAUAUUUACAAACCACAUGCCAUCUGUUAAGAAGCUUGGGAAACAAGCUAUGAGGUUACACCGGAAAUAUGUCGGAACUGCAAUAUGGCUCAUUAGUACGGAACACGCAUUUUAUUGGACCACCCGCGGGUCAACAUCGUAUCCCCCAAAACGUAACGGCACAGAGUGGAGGCCGGGACAGCGAGGCGAGCGAUUAAAUAGGAGAGAGAGCGCCGCGUGCCCCCAAACCACCGUGGAAGCUGCACCGCGCACUUGGCUGAGCUAAGAUACCACUCGAGGCGCACACGCCUUCCUCGGAGCGGACAGAGAGGAGCUGCCUCCUCCUCCGGGAGCAUAAACGAACCAAUAUCUAAGGAAUGCAAGUUCCAUAAUGGGACGCCGGGUGCCCGAUGUCGGCUAAUUAAGCCUGGCUCCGACUCGGAAAGAUCCCGUAAGUGAGAAGUUAAAAUAUUAAUCCCGAUUUCGAACUGCACGACGAGCGAGGCUGGUACCUGAAGGGAGAGAAUGUACUCCUGACGUUUUAGAUUAAGGGUUCGCCUCAAAGCCGCCUUCCGAACAAGUGGGACUUUCUCUACAGCGUAUUCUCUGAUACCGGCCGAGGAAGGGCGAUGACAAUCCUUGAAGUGACACCACUGUCAACAGAGGGAGAGAAGAUUUCAAUCAGGUGGUUUUCAUUGUCUGAUAGAAACGAUCUUUAUGGCUUUGUUGUUCUUCAUCAAAGCGCACUGAUUAAGCACCUUCAUGCCCUGUGGUUUGUAGAAGAAAGCACGGAACCAAAAAAUAGACUAUUCGGUCCCCAUUAAAAAUGGACCCUAUUUAAAGCAACACGGUAUUAAAACAGAGUGAGGUCUAAUACAAAUGCAGGUUCAAUAAGUGUUAUUAAAUUAUUAGACCUUAAGGUGAAAAUAUACCCUUGAACUGCCCUUAUAUGCAAUCAGAGCUGUGAUUAAAUAUUAAUGCCCUAAGAUUAAA